UGGUGGAGUGAUUUGUCUGCUUAAUUGCGAUAACGAACGAGACCUCGGCCCUUAAAUAGCCCGGUCCGCAUUUGCGGCCGCUGGCUUCUUAGGGGACUAUCGGCUCAAGCCGAUGGAAGUGCGCGGCAAUAACA
This 134-nucleotide ribosomal RNA is filed under the name uncultured eukaryote. Its description in RNAcentral is "partial 18S ribosomal RNA". It matches the Rfam family "Eukaryotic small subunit ribosomal RNA", at positions 1299 to 1458 of the family's 1831-position model. The record is from RNAcentral.